This 253-nucleotide ribosomal RNA is filed under the name uncultured bacterium. RNAcentral's name for it is "partial 16S ribosomal RNA". It matches the Rfam family "Bacterial small subunit ribosomal RNA", at positions 524 to 776 of the family's 1533-position model. The record is from RNAcentral.
UACGAAGGGAGCUAGCGUUGUUCGGAAUCACUGGGCGUAAAGCGCACGUAGGCGGCUGUGUCAGUCAGGGGUGAAAUCCCGGAGCUCAACCUCGGAACUGCCUUUGAUACAGCACAUCUGGAGUCCGGAAGAGGUGGGUGGAAUUCCUAGUGUAGAGGUGAAAUUCGUAGAUAUUAGGAAGAACACCGGUGGCGAAGGCGGCCCACUGGUCCGGUACUGACGCUGAGGUGCGAAAGCGUGGGGAGCAAACAGG